GAUGAACGCUGGCGGCGUGCCUAAUACAUGCAAGUCGAGCGAACAGACGAGGAGCUUGCUCCUCUGACGUUAGCGGCGGACGGGUGAGUAACACGUGGAUAACCUACCUAUAAGACUGGGAUAACUUCGGGAAACCGGAGCUAAUACCGGAUAAUAUAUUGAACCGCAUGGUUCAAUAGUGAAAGACGGUUUUGCUGUCACUUAUAGAUGGAUCCGCGCCGCAUUAGCUAGUUGGUAAGGUAACGGCUUACCAAGGCAACGAUGCGUAGCCGACCUGAGAGAGUGAUCGGCCACACUGGAACGGAGACACGGUCCAGACUCCUACGGGAGGCAGCAGUAGGGAAUCUUCCGCAAUGGGCGAAAGCUUGACGGAGCAACGCCGCGUGAGUGAUGAAGGUCUUCGGAUCGUAAAACUCUGUUAUUAGGGAAGAACAAAUGUGUAAGUAACUAUGCACGUCUUGACGGUACCUAAUCAGAAAGCCACGGCUAACUACGUG
Molecule: ribosomal RNA, 497 nt
Filed under: uncultured bacterium
Lineage: Bacteria
Description: partial 16S ribosomal RNA
Rfam family: Bacterial small subunit ribosomal RNA
Source: RNAcentral